This 233-nucleotide long non-coding RNA is filed under the name Lathyrus oleraceus (garden pea). RNAcentral describes it as "Pisum sativum (pea) long non-coding RNA (PSAT_LNC011633)". Lineage: Eukaryota; Viridiplantae; Streptophyta; Magnoliopsida; Fabales; Fabaceae. The record is from RNAcentral.
AAAUUUCAUAUGCAUGCUAUGUUAUGGAUUGUGAUUGAGUAUGAAUUAUUUCAUAAUUUUUGGAAUUGAUUAUGUUUGGGUUUGAGCUUGGUCUUGCUGUUGACCUUUUGUGUGCUCCCUCUUGCCAUGUUUUGACUUCUUUGGUCUAUGAAAUGACAAUGAUGCAUGUUAUGAACUUGUGACCAAUUGUGCUUGCUUCUUAAAUGCUUGAACUUGACUUUGGUUGACCAUUU